UGGGGUGUAGCUAAAUUGGUCUAGCAGCGGUCUUAUAAACCGUGUUAAACACCGAUAAAAACGUGUUAUGCGGGUUCAAGUCCCGUCACCCCAA
Molecule: transfer RNA, 94 nt
Filed under: Firmicutes bacterium CAG:466
Lineage: Bacteria; Bacillati; Bacillota
Description: transfer RNA-Ile(TAT)
Rfam family: tRNA
About the family: Transfer RNA (tRNA) molecules are approximately 80 nucleotides in length. Their secondary structure includes four short double-helical elements and three loops (D, anti-codon, and T loops).
Source: RNAcentral